CCCGAAUCUUGAAGAGCUAUUUUUAUAUUUUUUUAAUGUAUCAUAAUUAUAAUUAAUAUAAUAGUAGAAAUGAAACGUUAUUCGUUUUAAGAUAUAUCUGGUUUUCUAAGAAAUGGAUUUAAUUCUAUUAAUUAAAUAAUGUAAAAUCUAUUAUUUUAUUUUAUGUUUAUAAUUAGUAAGUUUGGUUGGGGAUAAGCUUGAUCAAAAAUUAUUAUUUAAUUUGUAAUUUAAUUGAGAUUGUAGGAUUAGAAAUUUUCAUCAUUAAUAAUUUGUUAUAAUUAAUUCAACAUAUUUUAUUAUUUUUAUAUUUAAUAAUUGUUUUAUUAGAAUAUUAUUUUUAAUAUUUUAUAUUAAGAAAUAAUGAUAGAAUUAGUAUAUUUUUUUUUGUUUAUUUUGAUUUGGUUGUUAGAAUAAUUUAAGGAAUUCGGCAAAUAUGUUUUUCACCUGUUUAUUAAAAACAUGGCCUUUAGGGGUAAUUUAAGGUCGGGCCUGCUCAAUGAAUAUUAAAUGGCCGCAGUAAUUUGACUGUGCUAAGGUAGCAUAAUCAUUAGUCUCCUAAUUAGGGACUGGAAUGAAAGGUUUGAUGAGAAAACUGCUGUCUCUAGUUAUUAUAUAGAAAUUUAUUUUUAAGUAAAAAAGCUUAAAUUUUUUUGAAAGACGAGAAGACCCUAUAGAGUUUUAUAAUCUAUUGUUUUAUUUGUUUUUGAAGUUUAUUUGGAAUUAUAUAAUGGUUUAUUUUGUUGGGGUGAUAGUAAAAUUUAAUUAACUUUUAUUAUAAUUGUCACAUUAAUAGGUGGGAUGUUUAUUGAUCCGAUAAUUUCGAUUAUAAGAAUAAAUUACCUUAGGGAUAACAGCGUAAUCUUUUCUUAGAGUUCUAAUCGAUGAGAGGGGUUGCGACCUCGAUGUUGGAUUAAAAUUUACCAAAGGUGCAGAAGCUUUAUGGUUAGGUCUGUUCGACCUUUAAAAUUUUACAUGAUCUGAGUUUAAACCGGCGUGAGCCAGGUUGGUUUCUAUCUUCAAUUUUAAAUAAAAUUUUAGUACGAAAGGACCGAGUUUU
This 1057-nucleotide ribosomal RNA is filed under the name Smaragdina concolor. RNAcentral's name for it is "16S ribosomal RNA". The stretch from base 626 to 1057 matches the Rfam family "Bacterial large subunit ribosomal RNA", at positions 2048 to 2700 of the family's 2925-position model. The record is from RNAcentral. Lineage: Eukaryota; Metazoa; Arthropoda; Insecta; Coleoptera; Chrysomelidae.